This 73-nucleotide transfer RNA is filed under the name Amanita brunnescens. RNAcentral describes it as "tRNA-Arg". It matches the Rfam family "tRNA". Rfam says of the family: Transfer RNA (tRNA) molecules are approximately 80 nucleotides in length. Their secondary structure includes four short double-helical elements and three loops (D, anti-codon, and T loops). Further hydrogen bonds mediate the characteristic L-shaped molecular structure. tRNAs have two regions of fundamental functional importance: the anti-codon, which is responsible for specific mRNA codon recognition, and the 3' end, to which the tRNAs corresponding amino acid is attached (by aminoacyl-tRNA synthetases). tRNAs cope with the degeneracy of the genetic code in two manners: having more than one tRNA (with a specific anti-codon) for a particular amino acid; and 'wobble' base-pairing, i.e. permitting non-standard base-pairing at the 3rd anti-codon position. The record is from RNAcentral. Lineage: Eukaryota; Fungi; Basidiomycota; Agaricomycetes; Agaricales; Amanitaceae.
ACAUCUUUAGCUGAAAGGUUAAAGCGUUUGUCUUCGAAACAAUAGGAUAUUGGUUCGACUCCAAUAAGAUGUU